AUUGAACGCUGGCGGCAGGCCUAACACAUGCAAGUCGAGCGGAUGAAGGGAGCUUGCUCCUGGAUUCAGCGGCGGACGGGUGAGUAAUGCCUAGGAAUCUGCCUGGUAGUGGGGGAUAACGUCCGGAAACGGGCGCUAAUACCGCAUACGUCAUGAGGGAGAAAGUGGGGGAUCUUCGGACCUCACGCUAUCAGAUGAGCCUAGGUCGGAUUAGCUAGUUGGUGGGGUAAAGGCCUACCAAGGCGACGAUCCGUAACUGGUCUGAGAGGAUGAUCAGUCACACUGGAACUGAGACACGGUCCAGACUCCUACGGGAGGCAGCAGUGGGGAAUAUUGGACAAUGGGCGAAAGCCUGAUCCAGCCAUGCCGCGUGUGUGAAGAAGGUCUUCGGAUUGUAAAGCACUUUUAGUUGGGAGGAAGGGCAGUAAGUUAAUACCUUGCUGUUUUGACGGUACCAACAGAAUAAGCACCGGCUAACUUCGUG
This 484-nucleotide ribosomal RNA is filed under the name uncultured bacterium. RNAcentral's name for it is "partial 16S ribosomal RNA". It matches the Rfam family "Bacterial small subunit ribosomal RNA", at positions 30 to 507 of the family's 1533-position model. The record is from RNAcentral.